Molecule: long non-coding RNA, 699 nt
Filed under: Populus tremula
Lineage: Eukaryota; Viridiplantae; Streptophyta; Magnoliopsida; Malpighiales; Salicaceae
Description: long non-coding RNA (PTRE_LNC002671)
Source: RNAcentral
GAGUUUCAUAAUAAUUAAUUCUUGAAUUAGUAUAUAUACUCUUAUCUCUGUUGCUCCUAUCAAUAGAUUCAAUACAGUGACAUCUAUAGAAUUUGAUCAAUAUGUAAAUAUUUGGACUUGUUGGCAGAAAUUCUACAAAACAACUCUAUUACUUGCCUACCAGAGCUUUGGAGUUGUUUAUGGUGAUCUCUGCACAUCCCCUAUCUAUGUCUACAAGAGUACAUUCUCUGGGAAGUUACAACUUUAUGAGGAGGACCAUGAGAUUUUCGGGCUACUUUCUUUGGUUUUCUGGACUCUGACAAUCAUCCCUCUUUGCAAGUACAUGAUAUUUGUGUUAGGAGCAAAUGACAAUGGAGAAGGUGCUCAUAUGAUCCAUCCAAUAUUUAUUAAUCAUCUUAUUAAUGUAAGAAGUUUAAUGCUCAUUUCUUUUCAAGAGCCUAUCUUUUCCAGGUGGAACCUUCGCGUUGUACUCGUUACACUGCCGACACUCCAGGAUGGGCCUUUUGAAGAGUCCUCUUCUUGAACAUGAAUUUGUACCUAGUUAUGAUUCUGAUGUAUACACCAAGGAGACAAGAACUAGCUUUCUCAUAAAGGAAUUCUUCGAGAAGCAUCGUAGUUCUCGUGUUGUUUUUCUGCUAGUUGUUCUGCUUGGGACUAGCAUGGUUAUAGGUGAUGGAAUCCUGACACCAACAAUGUCGG